Long non-coding RNA from Haliotis rubra (blacklip abalone), 285 nucleotides. RefSeq lists it as uncharacterized. The record is from RefSeq and is a predicted model, not a curated record. The transcript has 2 exons. Lineage: Eukaryota; Metazoa; Mollusca; Gastropoda; Lepetellida; Haliotidae.
AUGAUAAAUUAUGAAGACAAACCUGUCCAGUGAGAGAGAAUGUCCAGCUAAACAAAUGUCCAGUUAUAAAGAGUUGAAAUGAUAAGUUGAAUUAUGAUAAUUUAUGAAGGAGAUUGUGCAGGGACAAAAAUGCCCGUCCAGUUAGAGAGUGUCCAGUUAUCAAGAGCUGAAUUAUGAAGGAUUGUGCAGGGACAAAAAUGCCCGUCCAGUUAAGAGAGAGUGUCCAGUUAUCAAGAGCUGAAUUAUGAAGGAUUGUGCAGGGACAAAAAUGCCCGUCCAGUUAGA